AUGGAAGAGUGCCUUGCAGGCUUGAGGGAUGAAAUAUCUCAGCCAUAUCUGGAUGACAAUUUGGUCCACAGCAGAUCAUUUGAGGACCACCUGCGUGAUCUGAGGGAGGUCCUGCGCCGCUAUCAAGCGCACAGGGUGAAGCUGACCCCAGAAAAGUGUGAAGUGUUUAAGGGCAAGGUGAAAUUCCUGGGAAAGAUUGUAUCCAAAGAUGGCUACUGCAUGGACCCUGCUGAAUUGGCACCAGUGCAAGCACUAAAAAACCGCAAACCUGAGACUGUGGGAGACCUAAGGAAAAUGCUAGGUUUCCUGUCAUACUACCGCCCCUACAUUCCAAACUUCUCACGCACUGCCAAGCCACUAUACCAGCUGCUAUCAAUCGGAAAGAUUCAAGUGAUUACUGACAGAAGAUCAACGGUAAUCAGGCACAAAGGAACACGGAAAAAAUCAGACCAACUCCACUCAAGCCAGCCAAUCACAUGGACGGAACAACACCAGGCAGUGCUAUGCCAGCUUAUAGAACACCUGCUGAGUCCACCAUUCCUGGCAUACCCUGAUUUCGAAAGACCAUUUGUGCUGCACUGCGAUGCCUCUCAAGAAGGGCUUGGUGCAGUCCUGUACCAGAGACAGCAGGGCAAACUGGUUGUCAUUGGGUAUGGGUCGAGAACUCUAACAGCUCCAGAAACUAACUAUUACCUGGCCCCAGUGACAGAGAUCUCCAAAGAGACACUAAAGAAAGCACAGGAGGAUGAUCCAGUCAUUGGCAGGGUGCGAGAAUAUGUUAUGACAGGACAAUGGCCUCCUUGGAGAGGAAGAGACAGGGGUGAAGACACUUCAGUUCUAAGCCGGGAAAAGAGUAAGCUGUACCUUGACAAAGACGACAUCCUGUACAGGAAAUCCGCUGCUCGAGCUCAGCUAGUGUUACCCACAAAAUUUCAUCAGCUGGUGUACAAGGAGCUCCAUGAGGAGAUGGGACAUCUCGGAGUGGAGCGGACACUCGCCUUGGUCCGUGAUCGAUUCUAUUAG
Molecule: long non-coding RNA, 1023 nt
Filed under: Oreochromis niloticus (Nile tilapia)
Lineage: Eukaryota; Metazoa; Chordata; Actinopteri; Cichliformes; Cichlidae
Description: lncRNA (ENSONIG00000040866.1)
Source: RNAcentral